Long non-coding RNA from Musa acuminata AAA Group (dessert banana), 2848 nucleotides. RefSeq lists it as uncharacterized. The record is from RefSeq and is a predicted model, not a curated record. NCBI's taxonomy places the organism in Eukaryota, Viridiplantae, Streptophyta, Magnoliopsida, Zingiberales, Musaceae. The transcript has 5 exons.
UGUCGCUUCUGCUCCUGUUCGUGAGAAGAGGGGAAGUCAUGCGGUAGCUAUAACGCCCGUCUUAAACCUGUCGCUUCCCUGCUUGAGCCGAAGAGUUCUCGGGGAAGUUUGCCUAAGCGGGUCUUCUUCCGACGGGACUCGGAUCCUCUCAGCUCGGAGAGAUUGUUAGACAUUGGCAUGAGAGGAGACACGGGCUAAGAAUAGGAAUGCCAAGAUUGCAGGUUGAUCAACAAGUGACAUGUUUUCCAAGGGGGCAUCAGAGAGGCUCUCUUACCUUCUUUGUUGCUGCAAGCUCCUCCUCCAAAGCAUCCACACGCUUCACAGCGGCAUGCAGUAUCUCUUCCUUCUCAGCCGGCAACUCUACAGGCUUCGCACUGAGUUCAGCCACCUUCUCUUCAAGCUCACUGAGGCGCUUCACGACACCAGAGAACUCAGCAGCUGAGACGGCCGGUGCAGACUGCUCGCUCUGUUGCAUUUGGCCUUUAAGCAUCGUGCCGGCCAACUCAAGAGACCUCGCGUAGUCGAUAUCUGCAUUAGACAUCUUCUUUGGCACGGUGUUGCCUCCUACGCGGAUCAUGGUGACAAGUCCCAUGACAAAGGCCAUAACUCCAGCCAACACAUGGUUGCUGACUCCAUCUGGUCCUCUGUAGAUUUCAGAUAGAUUGUAGGCACCUGCAGUGAAAGGUGGAUCAUUGGAAACUCAUCAGUGGAAAUCUCAACAGUUCCAAUGUGUAAUCGGCUAAGGAUGAUGAUGAUAUGGACCUUUGGACAUGGCAAACUUUUGACUAAGCAUUUGCUUCUUCCAGGUUGCAUCCAUAGCCUUGUCCACAAUUGGAAUCAGAUCAUUAUAUGAGUAGGUUGGGAAUUCCUUGAGUGCAGCCUCGACGUCCAAAUUCUUCUGGAAAGGUAUUAGUGUUAGAAAUGAUAAGAUCAAUAGCAACUGCAAGUCUGAUUCACUUGGAACUUUGAAUCCUUUUGUGUUCCUGAAAUUUCAGAUACUGAAUUCUUGAUGAGUUCAGUAAUAUCAUGGAGUUCUACUUUUGCUUAACAGAUGUAUCAGGAAGAAGUUCCAGUCAGUAUCUCUGGCUCAAUCCACAAAGGGAAAAUAUUACUUCUGUUCCAAGUUGAUUCAUUUGAUGAAGAUUAAUUUAGUUUUUGUGGUGCUAAUCAACAACUAAAGAUUACCUCAGCUUCUGUAUUGCUGACUUCUUCAUGAAGAGGUGACAAUUGUGGGUGCUCAAUCUGACUCCUUGACAUCUUGGGAGAAGCAGAGGACAUUUCAUCAGCAGCAAAGGCAGAUGGCCCUCGGAAAGACUCGUGCCUCUUCAUGUUGGGGAAAUUUUUUUGUCAGUGAUCAGAAACAUGAAGCUCCAAUGAACAUUAACACAGGAAGAAAUGGUGAUUAAUUAUCACCUUUGAAUACACAAUGUCAUCCUCAGAAAUGGUCUUCUCCUCAACUGCAGGAGUCAUUUGUUGCCUUCCACAUUGUCCCAUACCACUCUGAACCAUCUGUGUAUGCCGUGAAUUCAUCGAAAUCGUGCUUAAAAUGUUAAUGCAAUUGUUUUGAGCAUACAAUUAGUGCAAAAACGGAGGAGAAGAAAACCUCACCUUUAAGAUCUCAGGGUCCUUCCAUGGGCCCUUGUCUGAUCGAAGACAACCUCCUUCACAGUUGCAGGUGCCACCAAGGAACUCCGGCAACUCACUUGUAAAUCCCAAAAGACUUAUGAUCAAACACAACUAUUUCUCAAAAGCUUGCAGUAAGAUUUGUUCAUCAUCUAUUGGAAGAUACCUGGCAUCAAUCACUUCAAGCAGCUUGCUCUGCUUACAUGGAUUUUCGCGGUGGUCUUUGGGUCAAGGAAGGACUUGACAGUGUUCCAAAGCAGUCUGAAUCCCUGUCCUGCAUUGACGAUGAACAUGCGGCACAAAGUCUGCAGUUGGGGAAAGAAUCACACCUCAUGAUCACUUGAAAUGCCAUCAGUACAUUUUGUUGAAUUGUUUCAUUCCCUGUCAUCAAAAGCCAUUCCAUACACAUUCUGAUUCGUGAACAUCACCGGAGGAGGAUAGGAUCUGAGAAGGGAAAACAAGGCAUCUGAUGCAUACCACUCCUUGCACAUCAAUGAUGGUCGUGCUCUGGUCGAUGUGCCGUUUUGCUGCAAUCGAACAGGCAGGAAACUUGACGACGAAGGUCCUCUCAAACUCCUUCACAUGGCCGGCCUUCCUUAUCGACUCCAUGGUGGCCUUGCGGGUAGUAUUCCAAGACUUCCCCGAGUUCCUUGAAAUCAAAAUCCUAGUAGGAGGAACACGUAUCAGAGCUACAAUCUUAUGAGUUGAAGCCGGUAGAACAGUCAAUAAAAGGAGGAGUUACAUCCAAAAUUGUGUCAGCUCCAAAUUCCUUCCUCCAUUGGAGCAUAUCAGUCCACAUUUGCUUUGUCUUCUCAAUGUCAAAUUUCCUGGCCUUGAGAAAUCUGCACCACAGAGACGCCACACUGAGUAUCCAUUGCUCCAUGGAUUUGAGCUGUGAAGUCAAGAGUAAUGUGUCCAAGUGAAGAGGAAAACCUGAGCAUUGUAUGGUAAUCAUCAUGCCUAGAAGGUAGCAUCUCCUCCAGAAUAAGAAUCUGACGGAAGGCAUCAACAGCCUGCAUCUCCUCGGCAUCACGCACGUCCUCGAUGGAGACAGACAUGACUUUGCUGCUCCUUCUUCCUCUUCUGUUCAAAGAAUUCCUGUACUUUGUGGAGGCAUUCAUUGCCUUCUUCGUUAGAGACUCGAUCUUAUUUCUCCUCUCAUCCUCGGAGUUCUCGACAUCUAUGUUACAUAAUUGAGAUCAUUAAAAGAAAUCUUGGUUAUAGA